RNAcentral lists this ribosomal RNA (468 nucleotides) under uncultured bacterium. Its description in RNAcentral is "partial 16S ribosomal RNA". It matches the Rfam family "Bacterial small subunit ribosomal RNA", at positions 28 to 507 of the family's 1533-position model. The record is from RNAcentral.
GACGAACGCUGGCGGCGUGCUUAACACAUGCAAGUCGAACGGAAAGGCCCUGCUUUUGUGGGGUGCUCGAGUGGCGAAGGGGUGAGUAACACGUGAGUAACCUGCCCUUGACUUUGGGAGAACUUCAGGAAACUGGGGCUAAUACCGGAUAGGAGCUCCUGCUGCAUGGUGGGGGUUGGAAAGUUUCGGCGGUUGGGGAUGGACUCGCGGCUUAUCAGCUUGUUGGUGGGGUAGUGGCUUACCAAGGCUUUGACGGGUAGCCGGCCUGAGAGGGUGACCGGCGACCUUGGGCCUGCGAUACGGCCCAGACUGCUACCGGAGGCAGCAGUGGGGAACAUUGCACAAUGGGCGGGAGCCUGAUGCAGCAACGCCGCGUGCGGGAUGCCCUCCUUCGGGUUGUAAACCGCUUUCGCCUGUGACGAAGCGUGAGUGACGGUACUGGGUAAAGAAGCACCGGCUAACUACGUG